Long non-coding RNA from Cyprinus carpio (common carp), 4011 nucleotides. RefSeq lists it as uncharacterized. The record is from RefSeq and is a predicted model, not a curated record. NCBI's taxonomy places the organism in Eukaryota, Metazoa, Chordata, Actinopteri, Cypriniformes, Cyprinidae. The transcript is spliced from 5 exons.
UUUUUGUAUGUCUCUCUUAUGAUGCCCUUGGUUUAGUUCAUGGAUCUCUCUCCUAAUGAGCUGAUGAUCUGAAUCAGGUGUGUUAUGAAGUAUAUGGAUAAUAUACAAAAUGUGCGAAGCAGUGGUACCCCAGGACUAGAAUUGAGGACUCCUCCCCUAGGGCAUUGGUCCCCAACCCUGUUCCUGGAUCCCACAACAUGUCAUCAUGAUUUGUGUCAUGUCUGAUUCAUGUCAUAAACUCAGUUUUAGACACUAGAAGACCUGCCAUGGGUGUGCCAGACAAAAGAGACAUAUAAAAUGUGUAGUGUUGUGGGGCUUCAGGAACAUUGUUGGGAGCCACUGCAUGAAAGUGUUGAGUCCACCCUUCAUCCCUGUCAUGAUGUGAAAAGAUCUCACUGAUUACCUCCGAAAAGCACAAAAAUCUUGGGUCGGCUGCACUGCCAAGCGGAUGUUUGCAGUGGUGGAUGGGAAUCAUAGCGAUUUGAUCGCCUUCUUGGAGUACUUGUGGUCCAAGAUCAACUGGACAAAGACGAGAGUGAAGUGGACCCUAAGAGGGGCAACCAGACGAUGAACACCACUUGAGGAGAAAAGCAAUUGUUGCUUUUGUCUUUCUGAUGUCUGUUGACUGUUUCGGCUCUCAUUCUGACGGCACCCAUUUACUGCAGAGGAUCCACUGCCUCCUGGAAGAUCAAAGCCUGGUCCGACUGUACUUUCCAACCCAACAGGACAAUCAACAAUCUCCGUCUCUUAUCACAGACUUUGUUCUAUUUUGUAUAGGUGCCUAUGAUGCUUUGCAAAAUGUAUCUGCCGCAUCUGAAACCUGGAGUCUGAGAGAGAAAAAAAGGGAUUGUAGGGUAAGACCACAGUGAAGAUUAAAAGCUGAAGCCAACAUCUGUUGAUUCGAAAGACGGACAAAGAAGACGCUUGACGCUUGGCAACCGCAAUGAUGAGGCCAAAUGACAUUCCUAAUGAUUGUGCACUUCAAAGUGCUUCCUCUGAGAACAGGGAGCAUGACUACAGAGGAAACUCAAGUAAAGUAUAUGUCAGACAUCUCUAUUUCAAUUGAUAUAUAAGAAUUGUGGGAUUUCACCAAAGGAAUCCAAACUUUUUCACUAGAUUAUCUGAUGUAGUAAACUUUGCCUUUUAUCAUGGACAUUUUAUGGUUUUAAUUAGUAAUCAAGAACCGAGUAAUGCUUAUUAGCGGUGUUGGCUAAGGCUAGCUACUGAUAUUACACAUACUUAAGGAUAAAGAUGGCAUGAAAUGAAAGAUUUAAAUGCAUGUAAUAGAUCAGUGAAAACGAAAACUGCUGUCCGGUAACGUAUGCCGGAUUCUCCAUUCAUUUAGUUGCAAUUCUGACUUUUUCCUUAGAAUUGGGAGUUUAUAUCUCUCAAAUGCAAGUUAAUAUCUUGUAAUUCUAAGUUUAUAUCAGAAUUACUGGGGGAAAAAGUUUGAAUAGUGAAAUACAGUCACUGGCUUCUUUAUUAGGUACACCUUGCUAGUACCAGGUUGGACCCUCUUUUUGGCUUCAGAACUUCCUAAAUGUGCCCCUAUUAUACCAUUUGUAAGGUUCUUAAUAUUGUUUGGGGAGUCUCAUAGAUUUACAUGCAUGCAGGGUCAAAAAACGCUUUUGUUUUCUCAAAAUAUGCAUUUAAUGUCACCUCAUUUUCCAACAAUUCUCAAACAAUUAGUUCAAAGCAGUUUUAAGAUUCAGGCUCUCUAAACCUCUUCUUUCCAUGAGCUUACUCUGCUCUGAUUGGUCAGAUGGCCCAGUCUGUUCUGAGUGUUCUACCAUGUACAGUGCGUGUUGGAAAUGAUACACCCAUUGUCAUAGUUCAUUUUGACCACUCGAUAGAAAAUAUAAAGAUCUAUUAUUUAUCAUACUUACAGAGUAUGAGUCAGUGGAGACAGCUGUUCCAAAUAAACUGGGUACUGAGCUCGUCUUUCAAGAGCAAGCAGUUUUGAAUCCCGCUUUGAACUCAAAGAGAUAAGAGAAGCAGUCGUCAGUAAAAUGACGGGAACACAAAAAAAGAUUGGGGUUGUUCUGCUGUGAAUUUUAACCACUGAAUCUUUGCAGCCUCAUGAUUCGGCAGUGAAAAUAAAAUUAAUUUACUUUCAGAGUGUAGGACACCGCAGCUUCUCGACAUGAUGUUAACCACACAAAGCUACAGUGUUUGAGGGUGGGUCAAGUUGUUCGCGGCCAGCCAACGUAGAACAUAGGUGGGCAUUAUGCAAUGUGUGUUACCCCGUGAAGUGUAGCUGCAACGGAAGUGAGGUUUGAAUUACUGAUGACUCGUUUAGCCUUUUCUGAGUCGUUCCUUUCUUUUGGGAGACAAUAAUCGUUCACUUUCGGCUUUACAACUUUGCAGAUCAUUUAUAGUCACUUACAGCUACAUAACACACUGCAUGAAAGGCAAUAUUCAUCGUAGCAUUGAUUCAGCAAGGUGCUGGAAACAUUACUCAGUUAUUUUGGUCCAUAUUGACAUGAUAGCAUCAUGCAGUUGCUGCAGAUUUGUCUGCUGCACAAUCAUGAUGUGAAUCUCCCAUUCCAACUCAUCUCAGUGCUGCUCUAAUGGGGGUGAGAUCUUGUGAUUGUGGAGAGCCAUUUGUGUUUAGUGAGCUCAUUGUCAUGUUCAAGAAACCAGUCUGAGAUCAUUUGAGCUUUGUGACAUGGCACAUGGAAGAUCUUUUUCCAAUCUUCUAUUGUCCAAUUUUGGUGAGCCUGUGUGAAUUACAGCCUCAGUUUUCUGUUCCUAGUUGACAGGAUUCACCAGUGUGGGCUUCUGCUUCUGUAGCUCAUCUGCUGCAAGGUUUGAAGUGUUCAGAGAUGCUAUUCCACAAACCUCGAUUGAAACGAGUGGUUUUUUGAGUUACUGUUGCCUUUCUAUCAGUUAGAGCCAGCCUGUCCUUUCUCAUCUGAGCAUUUUCAAGGCAUUUUCACCCACAGAACUGCCUCUAACUGGAUAGACAGCAAGCAAGCUCACUAGGUUUUGGAAAAGAGCCAUUAAGUCCAUUUAGGAAACGGUGAGAGCAUAAACAUUUAUUAUUAUUAUUACGCAGAGGUGUAGGAUUCUUGUAGGUUGGUAGUUAGCAUAGGGGCACUAUUGUCAGAAAAGUGAAAUCUGAUACCAGCCAGUUUAGAAACACUGUCUUACUAAUUAUUUGGCUGAUCUCAGAAAUUAUUCAAGACUAUUUAAAUUCUCAUUCCCUCAAGGCUUUUGCAAACAUUAUUUUUGUUUAUUUUAUUUUUUUUUUUCGUUUUUUUUUUCUGCACAAAUGAGUAGUGCCACACACCUUCAAUUGCGGGGUUGGGAUUUCAGAGCAUUCAUGCUAUAAUUACAUGUUUGUUUUUGUCAUUUCAAAUAGGUCUUUAAGAGAAAAUCAGUGGGACAGGUCAGAUAACAUGAGUUUUUAUCCCUGAAACAAUUGCUUGUGGAGAGGGAGGAUACGUUUAAACAAUACGAUACCAUUUGUUAUAUUGGAAAGUGUUGAAAUGAGCUGUGGGAUAUUGUCUCCUGUGAUGCCUGGGCUCUGGGCCAAGCUGAAAACUGGCAAAAUGUCUAAGAUGGCCAUUGAGAAAUAAACAUCUGCUCAUAACACUGCAAUUGAGAGAGAGAGAGAGAGAGAAUUUAUUUAAUUGAGUUUCAAUGUGAUUUUUCUUCUCUCUCUCUCUCUCUUUCUCUCUCUCUCACUUGGAACAACAAUUGGUGAUUGCAGUGCAUGUUAUGAGUGACCUGAUUUUGUUUUUGUGAGUGACUGGAUUUCAUGAAAUAUAUGUAUAUAUAACAACGUUCUUUGCGGCAAAGCUAAGGAAUGCAACAUGUAAUAAUUACUGUCUUACACAAUUUAGAAAAGCAACAACAAUAUAUACAAAGUCCAAGCUUACCCAUCUAGAAGCUAAUCAUAAUCUAAAGUGAUUUCAACUACAGUCAUGUCAUUAUGGGAACUUGUUUCCACCACGGAAUCAAAGAAAUUAAAAAGGUAAUCGUGACAUUUUAUCUCAAAUUCUGAAG